RNAcentral lists this transfer RNA (73 nucleotides) under Encephalitozoon hellem. RNAcentral's name for it is "tRNA-Val". The record is from RNAcentral. Lineage: Eukaryota; Fungi; Microsporidia; Unikaryonidae. RNAcentral also lists the same sequence under 2 other names.
GCAACCUUAGUGUAGUGGUUAUCACGUUCGCCUAACACGCGGAAGGGCCCCAGUUCGAACCUGGGAGGUCGCA